AUGUGUCUGAUCUUACACUCGUGGUUUGGAAAGGACCUUGGAGAUGGUGUCAUGCUCGGUUCUGUCCUUGGCAUUUUGCUGACUUUUUUCAAGAGUGGUUUUUUUGGCCUCUUGUACUAUCUCACGGUGGACAAACAUACUUUUUGGGAUAGAGAACUAGCUUCACCUUCACCGCUGACAUAUUUCAUAUACGAUUUGGUUAUUCUCCUGGCGUUCAUCCUGAUUUUCAUCGGAGGCAAAAAAUGCAGCUCCGCGCUGCUGGUAACCGGUCUCAUCUGUCUGAUUGUGGGAUUUGUGGCCCAAUUUCUGUCCCUGACCGUCCACAUUGCUGCGUGGAUCGCCAAAGGCCAACAGUUGCAGCAUGGAGCCGCCAACCAUCACCCGACGUUUUUCAUCAAAAGGACGACUGAGAUGCCGUUUCUCUUCUCAGAGGAACCAACUAUGAGGACAACGCUGACCGUCACGGCACUGUUCAUUAUAACCGCGAUGUACCUAAGUAAGUACAGUGUUCUUCAUGACCCUAAGAUUUUUCUGAGAUUUUGCAGAUUUAAAAUUUAACUCUCAUCCUUGAGGAAGAGAGAGAGAGAGGGAGGGAGCGAGAAAGGGAGAGAGGAGGCGAGAAGGGGAAAGAGGGGGAGAGAAAGGGAGAGAGAGGGGGGAGAGAGAGAGAGAGAGAGAGAAUGAGAAGGAAAAUCGUAAAAAUAUACGUAAAGAAAUAUCUGACGUAAGAAAUAUCCUUCUUUCAAGUCACAGCCAUGACAGAAGGAGAGUCAUGCGGCCGACUGCAGAGAAGCGCUUAACGGCUUUGUUUUUAAAAAAAGGAAUGAACGAUGAAAAAUGAGUAUAUUGCACAUCCACAAGUCACUUAUAUCAAUCUGCCUUCUAUAAAUCGAUUGUGUGUAUCAAUCAACGAUAGAACGUAGAUUUAGAAUUCUUUAUGCACUGACAUAUUGAUGGCUGAAGUACGAGACCGCAUCCGUCCGUUUGCGACAUUGUUGACCUUCACACAUACUUUACUUUUUCGUUGGAACACUAGUCAACGUAAUUUAAUGAGAAUUUAUUCCUUGUUUUUUCUUCGUUGUAAGUAGAAUAUCUAGCUGGAGUUCCAAGCUGUAAACUUGACUUGCUCUUCCAGAAAAUAAAAUAGGCGUGGAAACUUUGAAACGCCGCAACUAAGAUACAUGGUGUCGCACUUCAGCCACCGAUACUGAUGUAUAUACAAAAGACUUGAUUUCAUCUAUUUUUUUGACUUCCAGUUUACACUUUCUACUUUAUUAUGACGGUUACUUCGUACACUGCUCACAUCGGAGAGGUCAGAGUGCGGUGAUAACCGGUUCAAAUAAAUUGUGAUUCUGGAAAUCAGGAUCUCGAGAGAGCGAUCUUCACAAGACUCCCAACAUGGCAGGACGAGAGCACUGAGUCUGCGCAGUGAACGAACCGCGCGCCUUCAAUUGAGGCGUUAUGCAAUCUGACCUACUCAGGAGUUCGAAUAGUUGCCGCUCUGGGUUUGACCGAACUAUCCGCUGGGAUCUUCCGUGGACUCAACUGUGCAAGAUACAAAACUCUACGCGAGAAACGUAGGCGAUGGAGCCUUUUAUUAGUUGGCACCACGUUCCAUGAAUUUGGAAAGAUUUUUAUAGCAUGGGUAACCGGCUAACCGAAGGAGAAAAACGACCAUUGGAAAAGAAUAAGCCUCAUUAAACUAAUCAUCGUUCUUUUCAUACGCUUUUCGCGAUAUUUACUUCGGAAAAUGUAUCAAUCUCUAUUAGUGUAAAAUAAAAUUAGCUGCACUGGACAAACAAAUAAACCAAGUAAACUGAACUGCUACCAAAGUUGUGCAGUAUAAAGAACUGAAGCUGCGCUUAAAAUAUUUAAGGAUUAAAUUGGUAAUGUCCAGGUGUAAAAACAAAAAAAAGAUGAAAAAUCGGAGAAUACUCUUUGUGCCAGCCGGAAUAAGAUGCACAAUUUUGGCAGUAAUGCAAAGCACUUGGUCAAUCCCUGUCAAGAUGAUUUUAAUUAGUAGUAAAAAGAAAAGCGAUCUGUGAGAGAAUGAAAGGAAGGCUGAUGCUGGCUUCACAUGUUCUUCUAAUUAACAGAAGGUCUUAUACAUAAUGUAAAAUUAAAUUUGGAAGAAAUUCAUUGAAAAGCAAAAAAUGGGGGAAAUUAAGGUCAGUGUGCUAGAUGAAAACAGAAUUAAAGUGUCUAAAAACAAAACCUCUUUGUGUUCUUGGGCUGGAGUAUUCCGAAAGAGAUUUACGUAAUAGCCGUUGAGACUCUGGGACCUCAUUUCCGACAAUUUGGCUAAUUUAGUACAUCAAGGCACCGCAUUUAGAGACAAGUCUGUUAACAAUCGAAAUCUAUAAUCAGAAUAAAAUCAAUCAGAGGAAAAACUAGUAAAAAAUUUGGAAGAACAUUUCUGCAUUGGUUUAAUCCCGUGUUAAUUUUAGGGAAACAAUUCGGAAAAACAGAAAUAACCUGAGCAGAUGAAAGUAAUUACAUUGUGUUGUACAGAUGUUGCAUACAGAUGUACGUUGAUGUAAGUAAUUAUACUAUAGUUUUUUUACUUCAUGUUUUUGCUCCGUUGAAACAUAAAUAAAAUAAAGCAAAUCAUGUACAAUCAUUUUAAGCACAUAUUGUUUAUUACCGAACACGAUGCAAGGACUUUUAGAAAACAUGUAUGAAGCAAAACUUUCACUACUUGGUAACGAUUAAGUGCACCGUUUUACGAGGGGGAAAAAACUGAAAAAAAAAAAAAUGAAUUCGCGAUGGGCCGUACAGAAGGCACAUGCAGUCAUUUGGGGGAUCUUCGGGCUAUCGUGCAUUAUAUCUGUAUCAUAACAGAGUUGUUUUUAAAAUGAUGUCAAGCUAUAGAUAAAGAGGGAUUCAUACAUUAAAUCGUCGCUUACCUGGCAUAAGGGCGUAACUACAUAUUGAGAUGAGCCCGGAAAAGCAUUGACUUGUUUAGAAGACAGGGUUCAUUGCAGAGUGUAGUUACGCCUUUAUGUCAGGUAGGCGACGAAAUCGAUGCCGAUCAAAUUAAAACACAAUUUUCGGCUGAUUUGGAGGAGUUAUUAGCUCGAUAAAGUUGAACUGGAUCAAAUUACAACAUCUUCAUACUAGUUGACCGUCCACUUAACUUUUAAAAUACAAAUAUUCAGCAUACAUAGGAUGUCCCAAUAGUACUGAACGUUC
RNAcentral lists this long non-coding RNA (3192 nucleotides) under Bemisia tabaci. Its description in RNAcentral is "lncRNA ENSSSA1UGG010756". The record is from RNAcentral. Lineage: Eukaryota; Metazoa; Arthropoda; Insecta; Hemiptera; Aleyrodidae.